AUGUGGUGGGAGGUGGUGAGCAUCUUGGCAUGUUUGCAACUGUUGGCUGGUGUUUGCCAUGCAGUGACUGUGACACAAAAAGAACGGUACAAAAUCAUCCAGGUGGGAAUCCAGACAAGUAUUGACUGCAAUCACAAUGACAACACCUACUUGACUAUCCUUUGGUAUCGACAGGACAGCAACAGCGCAGACAGGACACUGCAGCUAGUUGGCUACUCUGUCCAUGGGAAUGACCCAGAGAUGACUAUGACCACCUACACCAUACAUGCAUCCCUUUCUGUCCCCGCAAGACAGGCUGCAGACUCAGCAGUGUAUUUCUGUGCAGUUGGAAAGGCACAGCGAGCACUUCUUGCCUCACAGCUGCACAUGAACGUUGGAGUAGCCCCGCCUCCACCCAUCUGAGCCACAACUGCAUAAAACCCAACCAUGUCCUGGAUAAUAUUUCCAAAGACGGUGGGAAACACAGCAGCUGCAGCUGCUCCUGUCUUAUCAUAAUAUUCGCCAGUCGGAUUCUGGGUUAAAUAAAUCAUGAUGCUUAAACUUUCUGCUUAAUAGCCAAAACAACGUUCAGUUUUUGUGACAUUCAAGUACAGUCCAAGCUGCCAAGGCUAACAUGUUCCACAUACGUGGCUUCCAAAAUCCAGACAGCCUGACCUGCACAUUAAACAAAAUGCGCUCAAGCAUAAAAUCAAAAACAUUAAUGAAUUUUGUGUACUUUUGCUCUGUGCAUGGUUUCAUAAAAAAAAAACCCUCGCAGAAAAUCUAGGAGAAAUGAGUUAAUUCUUUUUAGAUCUGGAGGUUUGGGAAUUUGUGACCCUCAAGCUAUAGUUCAACUGCAGCUCCCAUGUCUCAUCAACAGAGGAAAUUGCAAGGUGGGCAGCUGUAGUCAGAAAAAAAUACCAACAAGGCCACUACUGAGUCAAAUAAUAAAGGUAAAGAUUUUCCUCGGCAUUAAGUUUAGUUGUGUGUCCAACUCUUGGGGUUGGUGCUCAUCUCCAUUUCUAAGCUGAAGAGCCGGCGUUGUCCGUAGACAUCUUCAAGGUCAUGUGGCCGGCAUGACUGCAUAGAAUGCUGUUACCUUCCUGCUGGAGCGGUACCUAUUGAUUUACUCAUAUUUGCAUGUUUUUGAACUGCUAGGUUGGCAGAAGCUGGGGCUAACAGCGAGAGCUCACCCCGCUCCCCGGAUUCGAACCACCAACCUUUUGGUCAGCAAGUUCAGCAGCUCAGUGGUUUAACCUGCUGUGUCAUCAGGGGAUCCGAGUCAAAUAAUACACAUAUAAUAAUCAAAGCCUUAGAAUUGUAAGUAUGGUACUACUUCAAUGAAAACUACACAAUACAAGUGCCAUGCAUAUACAGUGCUUCCUCUCUCUGUCAGCAAUGGGUUUGGAAUUCUUUCACCAAAUUUCUAACACCAGAGCAGAUUCUGAAACAUUAAUUUUGGAAUGUAACACCCAGAAUCCACCAGUCAUUUGAUCACUGACCUUAACUGCGCCUUCACGCAGAUCUAUGUCUUGUUCAGACAUGCAAGCAAGUGUAUUGUACUUCUUAUUGUAUAAAGCAUGACACAAUCAAAUUGGAAGUUCCAACUGGGCACGGAUCAUAUUUUUCAUAAACUGCAUCACAGGAAGACUCAGAAAGGAA
RNAcentral lists this long non-coding RNA (1641 nucleotides) under Anolis carolinensis (green anole). Its description in RNAcentral is "lncRNA (ENSACAG00000035238.1)". Lineage: Eukaryota; Metazoa; Chordata; Lepidosauria; Squamata; Anolidae. The record is from RNAcentral.